Lingula anatina is the source of this 73-nucleotide non-coding RNA. The record is from Rfam. NCBI's taxonomy places the organism in Eukaryota, Metazoa, Brachiopoda, Lingulata, Lingulida, Lingulidae.
GGUUCUGUAGUGUAGUAGUUAUCACAUUUGCUUCACACGCCGAAGGUCCCAGGAUCGAAACCUGGUAGAACCA